RNAcentral lists this ribosomal RNA (283 nucleotides) under uncultured Clostridium sp. RNAcentral's name for it is "partial 16S ribosomal RNA". It matches the Rfam family "Bacterial small subunit ribosomal RNA", at positions 355 to 631 of the family's 1533-position model. The record is from RNAcentral. Lineage: Bacteria; Bacillati; Bacillota; Clostridia; Eubacteriales; Clostridiaceae.
UAGGGAAUUUUCGUCAAUGGGGGAAACCCUGAACGAGCAAUGCCGCGUGAGUGAAGAAGGUCUUCGGAUCGUAAAGCUCUGUUGUAAGUGAAGAACGGCUCAUAGAGGAAAUGCUAUGGGAGUGACGGUAGCUUACCAGAAAGCCACGGCUAACUACGUGCCAGCAGCCGCGGUAAUACGUAGGUGGCAAGCGUUAUCCGGAAUCAUUGGGCGUAAAGGGUGCGUAGGUGGCGUACUAAGUCUGUAGUAAAAGGCAAUGGCUCAACCAUUGUAAGCUAUGGAA